RNAcentral lists this ribosomal RNA (473 nucleotides) under uncultured bacterium. RNAcentral describes it as "bacterial SSU rRNA". It matches the Rfam family "Bacterial small subunit ribosomal RNA", at positions 328 to 793 of the family's 1533-position model. The record is from RNAcentral.
CGCUUUCACUCCUACGGGAGGCAGCAGUGGGGAAUAUUGCACAAUGGGGGAAACCCUGAUGCAGCCAUGCCGCGUGUGUGAAGAAGGCCUUCGGGUUGUAAAGCACUUUCAGUAGGGAGGAAGGUAGUGUAGUUAACACCUGCAUUAUUUGACGUUACCUACAGAAGAAGCACCGGCUAACUCCGUGCCAGCAGCCGCGGUAAUACGGAGGGUGCGAGCGUUAAUCGGAAUUACUGGGCGUAAAGCGCAUGCAGGCGGCCUGUUAAGUCAGAUGUGAAAGCCCGGGGCUUAACCUCGGAAUUGCAUUUGAAACUGGCAGGCUAGAGUCUUGUAGAGGGGGUAGAAUUUCAGGUGUAGCGGUGAAAUGCGUAGAGAUCUGAAGGAAUACCAGUGGCGAAGGCGGCCCCCCUGGACAGAUACUGACACUCAGAUGCGAAAGCGUGGGGAGCAAACAGGAUUAGAUACCCUGGUAG